UACGGAGGAUGCGAGCGUUAUCCGGAUCUAUUGGGUUUAAAGGGUGCGUAGGCGGGAUGCCAAGUCAGCGGUAAAAAUGCGGUGCUCAACGCCGUCGAGCCGUUGAAACUGGCGUUCUUGAGUGGGCGAGAAGUAUGCGGAAUGCGUGGUGUAGCGGUGAAAUGCAUAGAUAUCACGCAGAACUCCGAUUGCGAAGGCAGCAUACCGGCGCCCUACUGACGCUGAGGCGCGAAAGCGUGGGUAUCGAACAGG
Molecule: ribosomal RNA, 252 nt
Filed under: uncultured bacterium
Lineage: Bacteria
Description: partial 16S ribosomal RNA
Rfam family: Bacterial small subunit ribosomal RNA
Source: RNAcentral